GGCGAAGCUGAGAACUUAAGCGCCAGUAAACGGCGGUGGUAACUAUAACCAUCCUAAGGUAGCGAAAUUCCUUGUCGGGUAAGUUCCGACCUGCACGAAUGGCGUAACGACUUCUCGACUGUCUCAACCAUAGGCCCGGUGAAAUUGCACUACGAGUAAAGAUGCUCGUUUCGCGCAGCAGGACGGAAAGACCCCGGGACCUUUACUAUAGCUUGAUAUUGGUGUUCGGUUCGGCUUGUGUAGGAUAGGUGGGAGACUGUGAAGCAUGCACGCCAGUGUGUGUGGAGUCGUCGUUGAAAUACCACUCUGGUCGUGCUGGAUGUCUAACCUGGGUCCGUGAUCCGGAUCAGGGACAGUGUCUGGUGGGUAGUUUAACUGGGGCGGUUGCCUCCUAAAGGGUAACGGAGGCGCCCAAAGGUUCCCUCAGCCUGGUUGGCAAUCAGGUGUUGAGUGUAAGUGCACAAGGGAGCUUGACUGUGAGACCGACGGGUCGAGCAGGGACGAAAGUCGGGACUAGUGAUCCGGCGGUGGCUUGUGGAAGCGCCGUCGCUCAACGGAUAAAAGGUACCCCGGGGAUAACAGGCUGAUCUUCCCCAAGAGUCCAUAUCGACGGGAUGGUUUGGCACCUCGAUGUCGGCUCGUCGCAUCCUGGGGCUGGAGUCGGUCCCAAGGGUUGGGCUGUUCGCCCAUUAAAGCGGUACGCGAGCUGGGUUUAGAACGUCGUGAGACAGUUCGGUCCCUAUCCGCUGUGCGCGUAGGAGUCUUGAGAAGGGCUGUCCCUAGUACGAGAGGACCGGGACGGACGAACCUCUGGUGUGCCAGUUGUUCUGCCAAGGGCAUGGCUGGUUGGCUACGUUCGGGAGGGAUAACCGCUGAAAGCAUCUAAGCGGGAAGCCUGCUUCGAGAUGAGGACUCCCACCCACUUGAUGGGGUAAGGCUCCCAGUAGACGACUGGGUUGAUAGGCCAGGUGUGGAAGACCGGUAACGGUUGGAGCUGACUGGUACUAAUAGGCCGAGGGCUUGUCCUCAGUUG
This 1033-nucleotide ribosomal RNA is filed under the name Streptomyces mobaraensis. RNAcentral's name for it is "partial 23S ribosomal RNA". It matches the Rfam family "Bacterial large subunit ribosomal RNA", at positions 1898 to 2925 of the family's 2925-position model. The record is from RNAcentral. Lineage: Bacteria; Bacillati; Actinomycetota; Actinomycetes; Kitasatosporales; Streptomycetaceae.